CCUACGGGAGGCAGCAGUAGGGAAUUUUCGUCAAUGGGCUCACGCCUGAACGAGCGAUGCCGCGUGAGUGAAGAAUGCCUUCGGGUCGGAAAGCUCUGUUGCGGGGGGAAAAAGGCAGCAUCAGGAUAUGGGUGCUGACUGAUGGUGCCCCGACAGAAAGUCACGGCUAACUCCGUGCCAGCAGCGGCGGUAAUAAGGAGGUGGCGAGCGGUGUCCGGAAUGAUUGGGCGUAAAGGGUGCGCAGGCGGGCCUGCAAGUCUGGAGUGAAACGCAUGAGCUCAACUCAUGCAUGGCUUUGGAAACUGGAGGACUGGAGAGCAGGAGAGGGCGGUGGAACGCCAUGUGUAGCGGUAAAAUGCGUAGAUAUAUGGAAGAACACCAGUGGCGAAGGCGGCCGCCUGGCCUGUUGCUGACGCUGAGGCACGAAAGCGUGGGGAGCAAAUAGGAUUAGAUACCCGGGUAGUC
RNAcentral lists this ribosomal RNA (465 nucleotides) under uncultured bacterium. Its description in RNAcentral is "partial 16S ribosomal RNA". It matches the Rfam family "Bacterial small subunit ribosomal RNA", at positions 338 to 795 of the family's 1533-position model. The record is from RNAcentral.